ACGCUCGACACCUACGGGGGGCAGCAGUAGGGAAUCUUCCACAAUGGACGCAAGUCUGAUGGAGCAACGCCGCGUGAGUGAAGAAGGUUUUCGGAUCGUAAAGCUCUGUUGUUGGUGAAGAAGGAUAGAGGUAGUAACUGGCCUUUAUUUGACGGUAAUCAACCAGAAAGUCACGGCUAACUACGUGUCAGCAGCCGCGGUAAUCUGAGCGGGCUGGCAAGGC
Molecule: ribosomal RNA, 223 nt
Filed under: uncultured bacterium
Lineage: Bacteria
Description: partial 16S ribosomal RNA
Rfam family: Bacterial small subunit ribosomal RNA
Source: RNAcentral